GAAGAAGAACGCAGCGAAAUGCGAUAAGUAAUGUGAAUUGCAGAAUUCAGUGAAUCAUCGAAUCUUUGAACGCACAUUGCGCCCCCUGGUAUUCCGGGGGGCAUGCCUGUCCGAGCGUCAUUACAACCCUCAAGCUCAGCUUGGUGUUGGGCCCCGCCGCCCCGGCGGGCCCUAAAGUCAGUGGCGGUGCCGUCCGGCUCCGAGCGUAGUAAUUCUUCUCGCUCUGGAGGUCCGGUCGUGUGCUCGCCAGCAACCCCCAAUUUUUUUCAGGUUGACCUCGGAUCAGGUAGGGAUACCCGCUGAACUUAAGCAUAUCAAUAAGCGGAGGA
Molecule: unclassified non-coding RNA, 329 nt
Filed under: soil metagenome
Description: partial contains 5.8S ribosomal RNA, internal transcribed spacer 2, and large subunit ribosomal RNA
Rfam family: 5.8S ribosomal RNA (bases 1-120)
Source: RNAcentral